GAUGAGAUCUGAGCUGUCCGUGCGUGAUUCAAUCUAGGCUAUCCGCACGCGUGAGAUCUGGGCCUUCCGCACACGUGAGAUCUUGGCCGUUCGAUCGCGUGCAUGCGGAUCGCUCACGUGGCUCCGUCCUACGUUGUUUCCCGCGUCAGCUUCCUUGCCACACGGUGUGUUCUGGUUGGUCGGGGCUGCUGACUGGGCUGCUGACGUGGCACAACU
This 216-nucleotide long non-coding RNA is filed under the name Carica papaya (papaya). RNAcentral's name for it is "long non-coding RNA (CPAP_LNC014139)". Lineage: Eukaryota; Viridiplantae; Streptophyta; Magnoliopsida; Brassicales; Caricaceae. The record is from RNAcentral.